This 18-nucleotide small nuclear RNA is filed under the name Arabidopsis thaliana (thale cress). RNAcentral's name for it is "snRNA_06929". The record is from RNAcentral. Lineage: Eukaryota; Viridiplantae; Streptophyta; Magnoliopsida; Brassicales; Brassicaceae.
UGGUGGUUGGAAUCAAAC